RNAcentral lists this ribosomal RNA (1090 nucleotides) under Pantoea sp. RNAcentral describes it as "bacterial SSU rRNA". Lineage: Bacteria; Pseudomonadati; Pseudomonadota; Gammaproteobacteria; Enterobacterales; Erwiniaceae. The record is from RNAcentral.
GGCCGGGCGCAGUCUACCAUGCAGUCGGACGGUAGCACAGAGGAGCUUGCUCCUUGGGUGACGAGUGGCGGACGGGUGAGUAGUGUCUGGGGAUCUGCCCGAUAGAGGGGGAUAACCACUGGAAACGGUGGCUAAUACCGCAUAACGUCGCAAGACCAAAGAGGGGGACCUUCGGGCCUCUCACUAUCGGAUGAACCCAGAUGGGAUUAUCUAGUAGGCGGGGUARUGGCCCACCUAGGCGACGAUCCCUAUCUGGUCUGAGAGGAUGACCAGCCACACUGGAACUGAGACACGGUCCAGACUCCUACGGGAGGCAGCAGUGGGGAAUAUUGCACAAUGGGCGCAAGCCUGAUGCASCCAUGCCGCGUGUAUGAAGAAGGCCUUCGGGUUGUAAAGUACUUUCAGCGGGGAGGAAGGCGACGGGGUUAAUAACCGUGUCGAUUGACGUUACCCGCAGAAGAAGCACCGGCUAACUCCGUGCCAGCAGCCGCGGUAAUACGGAGGGUGCAAGCGUUAAUCGGAAUUACUGGGCGUAAAGCGCACGCAGGCGGUCUGUUAAGUCAUAUGUGAAAUCCCCGGGCUUAACCUGGGAACUGCAUUUGAAACUGGCAGGCUUGAGUCUUGUAGAGGGGGGUAGAAUUCCAGGUGUAGCGGUGAAAUGCGUAGAGAUCUGGAGGAAUACCGGUGGCGAACGCGGCCCCCUGGACAAAGACUGACGCUCAGGUGCGAAAGCGUGGGGAGCAAACAGGAUUAUAUACCCUGGUAGUCCACGCCGUAAACGAUGUCGACUUGGAGGUUGUUCCCUUGAGGAGUGGCUUCCGGAGCUAACGCGUUAAGUCGACCGCGUGGGGAGUACGGCCGCAAGGAUAAAACUCAAAUGAAUUGACGGGGGCCCGCACAAGCGGUGGAGCAUGUGGUUUAAUUCUAUGCACGCGAAACCUUACCUACUCUUGACCUCCACGGAAUUUGGCAGAGAUGCCUUAGUGCCUUCGGAACCGUGAGACAGGUGCUGCAUGGCUGUCGUCAGCUCGUGUGUGAAUGUGGGAUAAGUCCCGCCACGAGCGCCACCCUUAAUCUUUGUGCCAGCGAU